AGUGGGGAAUAUUGGACAAUGGGCGCAAGCCUGAUCCAGCAAUGCCGCGUGUGUGAAGAAGGCCUGCGGGUUGUAAAGCACUUUUAUCGGGGAAGAACAGGUUGUCGUUAAUAGCGGCAACACCUGACAUUACCCGUUGAAUAAGCACCGGCUAACUCCGUGCCAGCAGCCGCGGUAAUACGGAGGGUGCGAGCGUUAAUCGGAAUUACUGGGCGUAAAGCGUGCGUAGGCGGAGAUCCAAGUCUGAUGUGAAAGCCCCGGGCUCAACCUGGGAACGGCAUUGGAAACUGGGUUUCUAGAGUGUGGUAGAGGAUAGUGGAAUUUCCAGUGUAGCGGUGAAAUGCGUAGAUAUUGGAAAGAACACCGAUGGCGAAGGCAGCUAUCUGGGCCAACACUGACGCUGAGGUACGAAAGCGUGGGGAGCAAACAGGAUUAGAUACCCUGGUAGUCCACGCCCUAAACGAUGUCGACUUGUCGUUGGGGGANNNUAGUCCUUCAGUGACGGAGCUAACGCGUUAAGUCGA
RNAcentral lists this ribosomal RNA (524 nucleotides) under uncultured bacterium. RNAcentral's name for it is "bacterial SSU rRNA". It matches the Rfam family "Bacterial small subunit ribosomal RNA", at positions 353 to 868 of the family's 1533-position model. The record is from RNAcentral.